Boleophthalmus pectinirostris (great blue-spotted mudskipper) is the source of this 686-nucleotide long non-coding RNA. RefSeq lists it as uncharacterized. Lineage: Eukaryota; Metazoa; Chordata; Actinopteri; Gobiiformes; Gobiidae. The record is from RefSeq and is a predicted model, not a curated record. The transcript is spliced from 3 exons.
CCAAGCACCUUAACCUGGGUAUAGUCACUAAUAUUCUCCAUUUCAUAUUUGUAUUAUUGAUUUGACAGUGUAAUUCUACUGCUGCUCUUCUUCUACUUUUCUGCUACAACACUGCACUUUUCCUGUGGGACAAUGAAAUACUUUCUCUUGAACUAAUCUACAUGUGUGUUUGUUUACAGUGAAGCCCGACACCAGAAGUGACCCUCCUGCUGAACCUGAAGAAGAAGGAGUGUCCUACUCGACCAUCAGAUACAACAGGAACAACCAGAGAAAUGAGGUCAGACAGAGUGAGGAGGAGGAGGAGGAGGUGACCUACAGUUCAGUGAGGAACAUCACUGUGGAGGACCCUGCUCAGCUCUACGCCACCGUCAACAAAUGAACAACAACCAACAAAUAAAUAACCAACAACCAACCAAACAACAAACCAUCAACCAACCAACAAAUAACCAAUAACAAACACAACAACAACCAACCAAACACCAACCCAACAACCAACCCACCCAAAACAAAGAAACAAUCUAUAAUAAACCAACAAACAAACAAUAGUAAGACUGAUUCAAAUAUGAAGUGGACUUGGGACUUUUAAUGCACCCUGUGUGUGUUUUAAAAUGUUUGGAAAUGUAUUUAACUUGUGGAUAUAGCUGUAGUACAAGUAGUGGUAGUAAUAGUCAGAGGUGGGACUUGCA